GAUGAACGCUGGCGGCGUGCCUAAUACAUGCAAGUCGAGCGAACAGACGAGGAGCUUGCUCCUCUGACGUUAGCGGCGGACGGGUGAGUAACACGUGGAUAACCUACCUAUAAGACUGGGAUAACUUCGGGAAACCGGAGCUAAUACCGGAUAAUAUAUUGAACCGCAUGGUUCAAUAGUGAAAGACGGUUUUGCUGUCACUUAUAGCUGGAUCCGCGCCGCAUUAGCUAGUUGGUAAGGUAACGGCUUACCAAGGCAACGAUGCGUAGCCGACCUGAGAGGGGGAUCGGCCACACUAGAACCGGGACACGGACCAAACUCCUACGGGAGGCAGCAGUAGGGAAUCUUCCGCAGUGAGCGAAAAGCUGACGGAGCAACGCCGCGUGAGUGAUGGAGGUCUUCGGAUCGUAAAACUCUGUUAUUAGGGAAGAACAAAUGUGUAAGUAACUAUGCACGUCUUGACGGUACCUAAUCAGAAAGCCACGGCUAACUACGUG
This 497-nucleotide ribosomal RNA is filed under the name uncultured bacterium. RNAcentral describes it as "partial 16S ribosomal RNA". It matches the Rfam family "Bacterial small subunit ribosomal RNA", at positions 28 to 507 of the family's 1533-position model. The record is from RNAcentral.